RNAcentral lists this ribosomal RNA (253 nucleotides) under uncultured Thiobacillus sp. Its description in RNAcentral is "partial 16S ribosomal RNA". It matches the Rfam family "Bacterial small subunit ribosomal RNA", at positions 1129 to 1382 of the family's 1533-position model. The record is from RNAcentral. Lineage: Bacteria; Pseudomonadati; Pseudomonadota; Betaproteobacteria; Nitrosomonadales; Thiobacillaceae.
GCAAGGGCACUCUAAUGAGACUGCCGGUGACAAACCGGAGGAAGGUGGGGAUGACGUCAAGUCCUCAUGGCCCUUAUGGUAGGGCUUCACACGUCAUACAAUGGUCGGUACAGAGGGUUGCCAAGCCGCGAGGUGGAGCCAAUCCCAGAAAGCCGAUCGUAGUCCGGAUUGUUCUCUGCAACUCGAGAGCAUGAAGUCGGAAUCGCUAGUAAUCGCGGAUCAGCAUGUCGCGGUGAAUACGUUCCCGGGUCUU